GGGGAAUAUUGCGCAAUGGGGGAAACCCUGACGCAGCGACGCCGCGUGAGCGAAGAAGGCCUUCGGGUUGUAAAGCUCUGUUGUAAGGGACGAAUGUCGCGAUCAAUAAUACGGAUUGCGAAUGACGGUACCUUACCAGCAAGCCCCGGCUAACUACGUGCCAGCAGCCGCGGUAAGACGUAGGGGGCGAGCGUUGUCCGGAAUUACUGGGCGUAAAGAGCACGUAGGCGGGACCUUAAGUCAGGUGUGAAAGACCGCGGCUCAACCGCGGGGUUGCACCUGAAACUGGGGUUCUUGAGGGCAGGAGAGGAAAGCAGAAUUCCUGGUGUAGCGGUGAAAUGCGUAGAAAUCAGGAGGAAUACCAGUGGCGAAGGCGGCUUUCUGGACUGACCCUGACGCUGAGGUGCGAAAGCGUGGGGAGCAAAC
RNAcentral lists this ribosomal RNA (426 nucleotides) under uncultured bacterium. Its description in RNAcentral is "bacterial SSU rRNA". It matches the Rfam family "Bacterial small subunit ribosomal RNA", at positions 356 to 773 of the family's 1533-position model. The record is from RNAcentral.